This 862-nucleotide long non-coding RNA is filed under the name Numida meleagris (helmeted guineafowl). RNAcentral's name for it is "lncRNA (ENSNMEG00000001648.1)". Lineage: Eukaryota; Metazoa; Chordata; Aves; Galliformes; Numididae. The record is from RNAcentral.
UCUUUAGCAGAGCAGUCAGAUAAAAUAAUGACUUCAGAAACUGAGAUUCCUAAGGAAACGCACCAUGAUUACGAAGCAUGAAUGCACAGAUUUGCACACGGUGCAGCUGGAUAUCGACAACAGGAGAUUCCCAGAUUUGAGCCUUCAACCAGGCCUGGUAUUCAAAAAAACAUGAAAGAAAAAAGAUGGAUGGAUGGAAGGAAGGAAGGAAGGAAGGAAGGAAGGAAGGAAGGAAGGAAGGAAGGANNNNNNNNNNAAGGAAGGAAGGAAGGAAGGAAGGAAGGAAGGAAGGAAGGAAGGAAGGAAGGAAGGAAGGAAAAUGAUAGAAAGGAAGAAGGUUUUCAGUAUCUGAAAGUUGACUGGAAAGUGAGUAGGAACCUGUAAGAGGAAGAUACUGAGUCUUCAAACUGCUGGAUAUGGAUAAGGAAUAAUGAUAUCAAGACCUAGAAUGUGCCAUCUACAGAAAAGCCACAAAAGAGGGAAAUACAAAUCAUUUGAACAAAUUACUAUGAAAAACAGCAGUAUCUCCCCCUCCUGAUCUCAGAUGAAGACUGAUCACCUUCCUGGCUCAUGUGGAACAGCCAAAACUGAUUUGCAAGUCCUCUACAAGUUCUGGUCAGGUGGCAGAGCAGUGAAAUCCAAUCUGCAAGAUGAUCCACUGAUACGUUCUGUCUUAACACACCAGGAAUCUCUGAAGUGCAGAGAGUAUCCCAAAUACCCCAUGAGCUAUGAGCAACCAGCCCAAUCCAGGCAUGGAGGCUUCAUCCAGUGUUAGCUCCUGCAGCUUCCAGAGGAGUACUGUUCUGCUGAGGCUACAUCAACUGAACAUCCAAAUAAGAAUACAAGAAUAUUUUCCUUUCUA